ACUCCUACGGGAGGCAGCAGUGGGGAAUCUUAGACAAUGGGGCAACCCUGAUCUAGCCAUGCCGCGUGUGUGAUGAAGGCCUUAGGGUCGUAAAGCACUUUCGCCGGGGAAGAUAAUGACGGUACCCGGUAAAGAAGCCCCGGCUAACUCCGUGCCAGCAGCCGCGGUAAUACGGAGGGGCUAGCGUUGUUCGGAAUUACUGGGCGUAAAGCGCACGUAGGCGGAUCGGAAAGUUGGGGNNAAAUCCCAGGGGCUCAACCCUGGAACUGCCUUCAAACUAUCGGUCUAGAAGUUCUGGA
This 299-nucleotide ribosomal RNA is filed under the name uncultured bacterium. RNAcentral's name for it is "partial 16S ribosomal RNA". It matches the Rfam family "Bacterial small subunit ribosomal RNA", at positions 335 to 654 of the family's 1533-position model. The record is from RNAcentral.